This 413-nucleotide ribosomal RNA is filed under the name uncultured prokaryote. RNAcentral describes it as "bacterial SSU rRNA". It matches the Rfam family "Bacterial small subunit ribosomal RNA", at positions 505 to 918 of the family's 1533-position model. The record is from RNAcentral.
GUGUCAGCAGCCGCGGUAAGACGAACUGUGCGAACGUUAUUCGGAAUCACUGGGCUUACAGGGUGCGUAGGCGGCCUGUUAAGUAGGGUGUGAAAUCCCCCGGCCCAACCGGGGAAUUGCGCUCUAAACUAGCAGGCUUGAGUAAGCUAGGGGUGCACGGAACUUCCAGUGGAGCGGUGAAAUGUGUUGAUAUUGGAAGGAACACCGGAGGCGAAAGCGGUGCACUGGGGCUUAACUGACGCUGAGGCACGAAAGCCAGGGGAGCGAACGGGAUUAGAUACCCCGGUAGUCCUGGCCGUAAACGAUGAGCACUAGGCGGGAGAGGGUUCGCCCUUUCCGGCCGUAGCGAAAGCGUUAAGUGCCCCGCCUGGGGAGUAUGGCCGCAAGGCUGAAACUCAAAUGAAUUGACGGGG